Molecule: small nuclear RNA, 316 nt
Filed under: Chinchilla lanigera (long-tailed chinchilla)
Lineage: Eukaryota; Metazoa; Chordata; Mammalia; Rodentia; Chinchillidae
Description: 7SK RNA (ENSCLAG00000022033.1)
Rfam family: 7SK RNA
About the family: 7SK was discovered as an abundant small nuclear RNA in the mid-70s but a possible function has only recently been suggested. Two independent studies have found that 7SK RNA binds the CDK9/cyclin T complex (known as elongation factor P-TEFb). P-TEFb activates transcription by phosphorylating the C-terminal domain of RNA polymerase II.
Source: RNAcentral
GGAUGUGAGGGCAAUCUGGAUGUGACAUCUGUCACCCUAUUGAUCUCCAGGGUUGAUUCGGCUGAUCUGGCUGGCUGUGCGGGGGUCCCCUUCCACCCUCAAUGCUCCAUGUUCAUCCCUCCUGUCACACUUGGUAGAAGAGGGUGACCACCGACAUCAGAGGAGGACCGUUUCCUGGUCUGAUAAGGGUGUAUAUAGGUAGCUGCACCUCCUACUACAACCUCCAAAGAAGCUCUCAAUAUAAGUACUUAUUAUUAUCAGUGUAAGUGAAGAAUAUUUCCAUUUUAACGGUGACUUACUUGGACAGCCCAUUCCU